UGCCGGCGACCGGCGGACGGGUGCGUAACGCGUAUGUAACCUACCUUUGACAGGGGGAUAACAUCGAGAAAUUGGUACUAAUACCCCAUAACAUCACCGGAGGCAUCUUCGGUGGUUGAAAACUCAGGUGGUCAGAGAUGGACAUGCGUUGUAUUAGCUGGUUGGUGAGGUAACGGCUCACCAAGGCGACGAUACAUAGGGGGACUGAGAGGUUAACCCCCCACAUUGGUACUGAGACACGGACCAAACUCCUACGGAAGGCAGCAG
Molecule: ribosomal RNA, 267 nt
Filed under: uncultured bacterium
Lineage: Bacteria
Description: partial 16S ribosomal RNA
Rfam family: Bacterial small subunit ribosomal RNA
Source: RNAcentral